GACGAACGCUGGCGGCGUGCUUAACACAUGCAAGUCGAACGGAAAGGCCCUGCUUUUGUGGGGUGCUCGAGUGGCGAACGGGUGAGUAACACGUGAGUAACCUGCCCUUGACUUUGGGAUAACUUCAGGAAACGGAGGCUAAUACCGGAUAGGAGCUCCUGCUGCAUGGUGGGGGUUGGAAAGUUUCGGCGGUUGGGGAUGGACUCGCGGCUGAUCAGCUUGUUGGUGGGGUAGUGGCUUACCAAGCCAUUGACGGGUCGCCGGCCUGAGAGGGUGACCGGCGACAAUGGGACUGAGAUACGGAGCAGACUCCAACGGGAGGCAGCAGUGGGGAAUAUUGCACAAUGGGCGGAAGCCUGAUGCAGCAACGCCGCGGGUGUGAUGACGGUCUUCGGGGUGUGAACCGCUUUCGCCUGUGACGAAGCGUGAGUGACGGUACUGGGUAAAGAAGCACCGGCUAACUACGUG
RNAcentral lists this ribosomal RNA (468 nucleotides) under uncultured bacterium. Its description in RNAcentral is "partial 16S ribosomal RNA". It matches the Rfam family "Bacterial small subunit ribosomal RNA", at positions 28 to 507 of the family's 1533-position model. The record is from RNAcentral.